GUGAUUGUGGCUCAGUGGUAGAGCAUUUACCUAGCAUGUGUGAGGCACUGGGUUUGAUUUUCAGCACCACAUAUAAAUAAAUGAAUAAAAUAAAGGUUCGUCAACAUCUAAAAAAAACUUUAAAAUUUUCUAUCUAAUUUUAUAAGGAUUUAAAUUAUAGUCUUUAUCACUUCUGUGCUUAUUAAAAGUGCAAUUUAAAAAUGUCCCUUGGGUUCAAACCCAGUACCAAAAACG
This 234-nucleotide transfer RNA is filed under the name Marmota monax (woodchuck). RNAcentral's name for it is "tRNA.Ala". The record is from RNAcentral. Lineage: Eukaryota; Metazoa; Chordata; Mammalia; Rodentia; Sciuridae.